AAGAGUUGCAAAACUCCCACAAACCAUCGCGAACGUUACCACACAUAAGUUGCUUCGGCGCGCCGCUCCCGGGUCACACCGGGGCGCCGCCGGAGUGGCCGUAUACAAACUCUUAUUAUAAACCAGUUACAUCUGAGUACUAUACUUAAUAAGUAAAAACUUUCAACAACGGAUCUCUUGGUUCUGGCAUCGAUGAAGAACGCAGCGAAAUGCGAUAAGUAAUGUGAAUUGCAGAAUUCAGUGAAUCAUCGAAUCUUUGAACGCACAUUGCGCCCGCCAGUAUUCUGGCGGGCAUGCCUGUUCGAGCGUCAUUUCAACCAUCAAGCUCUGCUUGUGUUGGGGUCCCUGCGGCUGUCCGCAGGCCCUUAAAACCAGUGGCGGGCUCGCCUACACUCCGAGCGCAGUAGCACAUCUCGCUCAGGUCGUGUGGUGGGUUUCCGGCCGUAAAACACCCCCCUUCUGAAAGGUUGACCUCGGAUCAGGUAGGAAUACCCGCUGAACUUAAGCAUAUCAAUAAGCGAUCGUAGCCUUGGUCAUUUAGAGGAAGUAAAAGUCGUAACAAGGUUUCCGUAGGUGAACCUGCGGAAGGAUCACUAGUGAUUAAAUCGAGCGUGUCUUCAUUGACCGCUCACCCUUCUCACCAUCCACAUACACCUGUGCACUGUUUAGGCCUGAGCCGGUUUUCCGGUCCAGGUUAUCAUUUCAUACAAACUCUAGUCUUAUGAAUGUAAACGUUUUAAUAACAUAAUA
This 750-nucleotide unclassified non-coding RNA is filed under the name soil metagenome. Its description in RNAcentral is "partial contains internal transcribed spacer 1, 5.8S ribosomal RNA, and internal transcribed spacer 2". The stretch from base 158 to 311 matches the Rfam family "5.8S ribosomal RNA". The record is from RNAcentral.